GCCGUCUUAGCUCAGUGGUAGAGCGCGUGACUUUUAAUCCCGUGGUCAAGGGUUCGAUCCCUUAGACGGCG
Arabis alpina (gray rockcress) is the source of this 71-nucleotide non-coding RNA. The record is from Rfam. Lineage: Eukaryota; Viridiplantae; Streptophyta; Magnoliopsida; Brassicales; Brassicaceae.